This 2773-nucleotide ribosomal RNA is filed under the name Salmonella enterica. Its description in RNAcentral is "bacterial LSU rRNA". It matches the Rfam family "Bacterial large subunit ribosomal RNA". The record is from RNAcentral. Lineage: Bacteria; Pseudomonadati; Pseudomonadota; Gammaproteobacteria; Enterobacterales; Enterobacteriaceae.
AGCGUACACGGUGGAUGCCCUGGCAGUCAGAGGCGAUGAAGGGCGUGCUAAUCUGCGAUAAGCGCCGGUAAGGUGAUAUGAACCGUUAUAACCGGCGAUACCCGAAUGGGGAAACCCAGUGUGAUUCGUCACACUAUCAUUAACUGAAUCCAUAGGUUAAUGAGGCGAACCGGGGGAACUGAAACAUCUAAGUACCCCGAGGAAAAGAAAUCAACCGAGAUUCCCCCAGUAGCGGCGAGCGAACGGGGAGGAGCCCAGAGCCUGAAUCAGCAUGUGUGUUAGUGGAAGCGUCUGGAAAGGCGCGCGAUACAGGGUGACAGCCCCGUACACAAAAGCGCAUGUGCUGUGAGCUCGAUGAGUAGGGCGGGACACGUGGUAUCCUGUCUGAAUAUGGGGGGACCAUCCUCCAAGGCUAAAUACUCCUGACUGACCGAUAGUGAACCAGUACCGUGAGGGAAAGGCGAAAAGAACCCCGGCGAGGGGAGUGAAAAAGAACCUGAAACCGUGUACGUACAAGCAGUGGGAGCACCCUUUGGGUGUGACUGCGUACCUUUUGUAUAAUGGGUCAGCGACUUAUAUUCUGUAGCAAGGUUAACCGAAUAGGGGAGCCGGAGGGAAACCGAGUCUUAAUUGGGCGUUAAGUUGCAGGGUAUAGACCCGAAACCCGGUGAUCUAGCCAUGGGCAGGUUGAAGGUUGGGUAACACUAACUGGAGGACCGAACCGACUAAUGUUGAAAAAUUAGCGGAUGACCUGUGGCUGGGGGUGAAAGGCCAAUCAAACCGGGAGAUAGCUGGUUCUCCCCGAAAGCUAUUUAGGUAGCGCCUCGUGAAUUCAUCUCCGGGGGUAGAGCACUGUUUCGGCUAGGGGGCCAUCCCGGCUUACCAACCCGAUGCAAACUGCGAAUACCGGAGAAUGUUAUCACGGGAGACACACGGCGGGUGCUAACGUCCGUCGUGAAGAGGGAAACAACCCAGACCGCCAGCUAAGGUCCCAAAGUCAUGGUUAAGUGGGAAACGAUGUGGGAAGGCCCAGACAGCCAGGAUGUUGGCUUAGAAGCAGCCAUCAUUUAAAGAAAGCGUAAUAGCUCACUGGUCGAGUCGGCCUGCGCGGAAGAUGUAACGGGGCUAAACCAUGCACCGAAGCUGCGGCAGCGACACUGUGUGUUGUUGGGUAGGGGAGCGUUCUGUAAGCCUGUGAAGGUGUGUCGUGAGGCAUGCUGGAGGUAUCAGAAGUGCGAAUGCUGACAUAAGUAACGAUAAAGCGGGUGAAAAGCCCGCUCGCCGGAAGACCAAGGGUUCCUGUCCAACGUUAAUCGGGGCAGGGUGAGUCGACCCCUAAGGCGAGGCCGAAAGGCGUAGUCGAUGGGAAACGGGUUAAUAUUCCCGUACUUGGUGUUACUGCGAAGGGGGGACGGAGAAGGCUAUGUUGGCCGGGCGACGGUUGUCCCGGUUUAAGCGUGUAGGUGUGUGUUCCAGGUAAAUCCGGUUCACUUUAACACUGAGGCGUGACGACGAGGCACUACGGUGCUGAAGCAACAAAUGCCCUGCUUCCAGGAAAAGCCUCUAAGCAUCAGGUAACAUCAAAUCGUACCCCAAACCGACACAGGUGGUCAGGUAGAGAAUACCAAGGCGCUUGAGAGAACUCGGGUGAAGGAACUAGGCAAAAUGGUGCCGUAACUUCGGGAGAAGGCACGCUGACACGUAGGUGAAGUGAUUUACUCAUGGAGCUGAAGUCAGUCGAAGAUACCAGCUGGCUGCAACUGUUUAUUAAAAACACAGCACUGUGCAAACACGAAAGUGGACGUAUACGGUGUGACGCCUGCCCGGUGCCGGAAGGUUAAUUGAUGGGGUCAGCGCAAGCGAAGCUCCUGAUCGAAGCCCCGGUAAACGGCGGCCGUAACUAUAACGGUCCUAAGGUAGCGAAAUUCCUUGUCGGGUAAGUUCCGACCUGCACGAAUGGCGUAAUGAUGGCCAGGCUGUCUCCACCCGAGACUCAGUGAAAUUGAACUCGCUGUGAAGAUGCAGUGUACCCGCGGCAAGACGGAAAGACCCCGUGAACCUUUACUAUAGCUUGACACUGAACAUUGAGCCUUGAUGUGUAGGAUAGGUGGGAGGCUUUGAAGUGUGGACGCCAGUCUGCAUGGAGCCGACCUUGAAAUACCACCCUUUAAUGUUUGAUGUUCUAACGUGGACCCGUUACCCGGGUUGCGGACAGUGUCUGGUGGGUAGUUUGACUGGGGCGGUCUCCUCCUAAAGAGUAACGGAGGAGCACGAAGGUUGGCUAAUCCUGGUCGGACAUCAGGAGGUUAGUGCAAUGGCAUAAGCCAGCUUGACUGCGAGCGUGACGGCGCGAGCAGGUGCGAAAGCAGGUCAUAGUGAUCCGGUGGUUCUGAAUGGAAGGGCCAUCGCUCAACGGAUAAAAGGUACUCCGGGGAUAACAGGCUGAUACCGCCCAAGAGUUCAUAUCGACGGCGGUGUUUGGCACCUCGAUGUCGGCUCAUCACAUCCUGGGGCUGAAGUAGGUCCCAAGGGUAUGGCUGUUCGCCAUUUAAAGUGGUACGCGAGCUGGGUUUAGAACGUCGUGAGACAGUUCGGUCCCUAUCUGCCGUGGGCGCUGGAGAACUGAGGGGGGCUGCUCCUAGUACGAGAGGACCGGAGUGGACGCAUCACUGGUGUUCGGGUUGUCAUGCCAAUGGCACUGCCCGGUAGCUAAAUGCGGAAGAGAUAAGUGCUGAAAGCAUCUAAGCACGAAACUUGCCCCGAGAUGAGUUCU